Molecule: long non-coding RNA, 1043 nt
Organism: Lingula anatina
Lineage: Eukaryota; Metazoa; Brachiopoda; Lingulata; Lingulida; Lingulidae
Source: RefSeq, a predicted model, not a curated record
AAACAAAAGGAUUGCAGGGACCGAUACUAUGAAUGAGACGGAGUGACUGCCACGUGCGGAAGAUGGGCAGGAAAUCGGUCAACUACUCAGAAAACCACUAACGCAAACGAAGAUGAUUGGACGGUGACCGCAAUUAGGCAGUAAACGCAGGGAAAGGCCAUUCUCUGAUAUCACCCCAUGCGCGGUGAUAUCAGCGUGUUCUAUUCAAAGUUAGGGGUUUUGGGUGGGGAACACGCACGAUUUCCCUUUGUAUGUAUGACAAAUAAUGCACUGUUACCCCCUCGCCCGAUAUCCACGAUAGCAUGCCUCGCUGGCGCUCGGCCUGCUAUCGUGAUAUCGGGCUCGUGGACAGUGCAUUAUUUACUACUUAUCCUCGUGUGACGUCCCCCUCUGUGGACGUGUGCCCGUUCAAACUUCUGAAUUUCCUUCGUCUAAAGAUCACCUUUUGAGCUAAAUACAUGUACACUUCGUAUACACAGAAUGCGGUAGGUGAUACUGAAUGCGAAAUCUAAAUCUAAAACAAUCUGUGUUUAACUGGGAAAGAGAAUUCAAGCUACAACAGGUGCAUGGACUGCAUUAAGCUACAUGUAUUCAUAUUUGGAUCAGUCAAUUUCUAUGCAUGUACGAAACCUGACUGAUAUCUGGUGAUCUUAGUUGAAAAACAUCGUCUUCUACUGCUCUUGGCGACAAGCAGAUGGGCGUGACCUCCGCAGAUAUGUUACUUUUCCCACAGGUUGAUUCAGAGUAUCAACUGGGUCUCCUUUGACGUUUGGAUUUGCAUAUCAUUUGCAUAUCAUUUGCAUACCACCUGUAUAUGAAACCAGAUAUAUAAUGAGUUACGUUGUCAUCGAGUUGGAUCUUGUACGAUUACAUCAUUUGAUUCAGUUGACUUGCGUCGAUUUCCACAUUAGACUUGCAAGGAGUACAGGAAGAUGACAGUCAAUUUUGCUGGCCUUCUUGUAGCAGCCUGUUUGGCGGCUUUCCUGAUAGAAUAUUCUCAAGCCGUAUGUUGCGUUACUUUUGACGGUUUCUGUCAGGACUGU